UGCAAGUCGAGGGGUAUUGGUUUUCGGACCAAGAGACCGGCGCACGGGUGCGUAACGCGUAUGCAAUCUACCUUUUACAGGGGGAUAGCCCAGAGAAAUUUGGAUUAAUACCCCAUGGUAUAAUAUUUCGGCAUCGGGAUAUUAUUAAAGUCACAACGGUAAAAGAUGAGCAUGCGUCCCAUUAGCUAGUUGGUAAGGUAACGGCUUACCAAGGCAACGAUGGGUAGGGGUCCUGAGAGGGAGAUCCCCCACACUGGUACUGAGACACGGACCAGACUCCUACGGGAGGCAGCAGUGAGGAAUAUUGGUCAAUGGGCGCAAGCCUGAACCAGCCAUGCCGCGUGCAGGAUGACGGUCCUAUGGAUUGUAAACUGCUUUUGUACGAGAAGAAACAACAUUACGUGUAAUGUCUUGACGGUAUCGUAAGAAUAAGGAUCGGCUAACUCCGUGCCAGCAGCCGCGGUAAUACGGAGGAUCCAAGCGUUAUCCGGAAUCAUUGGGUUUAAAGGGUCCGUAGGCGGUUUUGUAAGUCAGUGGUGAAAGCCCAUCGCUCAACGGUGGAACGGCCAUUGAUACUGCAAGACUUGGAUUACUAGGAAGUAACUAGAAUAUGUAGUGUAGCGGUGAAAUGCUUAGAGAUUACAUGGAAUACCAAUUGCGAAGGCAGGUUACUACUAGUGGAUUGACGCUGAUGGACGAAAGCGUGGGUAGCGAACAGGAUUAGAUACCCUGGUAGUCCACGCCGUAAACGAUGGAUACUAGCUGUUGGGAGCAAUCUCAGUGGCUAAGCGAAAGUGAUAAGUAUCCCACCUGGGGAGUACGGGCGCAAGCCUGAAACUCAAAGGAAUUGACGGGGGCC
This 859-nucleotide ribosomal RNA is filed under the name uncultured bacterium. RNAcentral describes it as "bacterial SSU rRNA". It matches the Rfam family "Bacterial small subunit ribosomal RNA", at positions 56 to 921 of the family's 1533-position model. The record is from RNAcentral.